GAUGAAGAACGUAGCGAAAUGCGAUACGUAAUGUGAAUUGCAGAAUUCAGUGAAUCAUCGAAUCUUUGAACGCACAUUGCGCCUGCCAGCACUCUGGCAGGCAUGCCUGUUCGAGCGUCAUUUCAACCAUCAAGCCCUAGGCUUGCGUUGGAGCCCUGCGGCUGCCGCAGGCCCCUAAAAGCAGUGGCGGGCUCGCUAUCACACCGAGUGCAGUAGAUUACUCUUCGCUCAGGGCGUGUGGCGGGUUCCAGUCGUGAAACCCCCUACUUCUCAAGGUUGACCUCGGAUCAGGUAGGAAUACCCGCUGAACUUAAGCAUAUCAAUAAGCGGAGGA
RNAcentral lists this unclassified non-coding RNA (334 nucleotides) under soil metagenome. RNAcentral describes it as "partial contains 5.8S ribosomal RNA, internal transcribed spacer 2, and large subunit ribosomal RNA". The stretch from base 1 to 120 matches the Rfam family "5.8S ribosomal RNA", at positions 35 to 154 of the family's 154-position model. The record is from RNAcentral.